This is a non-coding RNA of Phrynosoma platyrhinos (Desert horned lizard), 71 nucleotides long. The record is from the annotation of a GenBank genome assembly. Lineage: Eukaryota; Metazoa; Chordata; Lepidosauria; Squamata; Phrynosomatidae.
GCCAAUGUGGCUUAGUGGAUUGAGUAUUGGACUACAACUCUGGGGGCCAGGGUUCAUUUCCCAGGUUGACC